Molecule: long non-coding RNA, 876 nt
Organism: Peromyscus eremicus (cactus mouse)
Lineage: Eukaryota; Metazoa; Chordata; Mammalia; Rodentia; Cricetidae
Exons: 3
Source: RefSeq, a predicted model, not a curated record
GGCAAAUCCUCUAGUUAGCGUUCUGACAACGUUAAUUUCCUUUGUACCGGUCAUCUCUUCUUCUUGAAAAGCUGGGAUAAAGUUGACAGUCUUUAUAGAUGAAAGGAGGUUGCAUCUAAAAGUUUCUCACAAGCUUAAAAAAAAAAAAGACAAAUGAGAAAUUGACACCAUUAUACAGAAGAAUUCAGAAAAGCCGAGCACCAGGGCAGAGAAGCAGCGUCAGACACAGGUCAUCUUUGGAAAGGGAGGAAGUUGGACAGCAUCUGGAGGGAGUGCCUUUUGUAAAGCCUGCAUCAGACUUUGUGAUCAGGGACAAAAUGGUGCACGGCGAACAAGAACAGCAUCCAAAAGCUAAGGUUAGUAAUGACAUAAAACGGUGGAGCCACACAAUAAAAACUGUGACUGUACUGACACAAUGCUGGUGAUCAACUGAAGAGCAAGUUCCUUGCGGACAAAGGACUACCUACUAUGUCUGGGAGACAUUCUAUGGACAAAAAACCCUAAUACCCUUGCCUAGAGUGAACAGGCCUGCCUGCGAUUGGGAGGACACAGGGUAGGGGAACGAAGCUGUAGUCAACGGGAGAUGUGUGUGCCCUUGUUCGGGCAGCACUGACUUCCCAGGUUGUUUCGCUGGGUCAGGAACAUGACCUUAGAAUUCUGGAAAACUGGCAGAAAGGCAUUUAGACAAGAAAAAUGGGGCUGUGCAGCAGUUCUCCAGACAGAGGGAGUGGGUCAAAGGUCACAAGGAGGACGGGGAGAAGUAGGCUGCGGGAGAGCUUGAGCAGUGAAGUAGAAGAGUCCACCCUUCGGGUCACAUUGCUUUCAAAGACAGCCUGUGCUCCCUCUCACCUGUAACUGACUAAGCACCUUCUGCAU